RNAcentral lists this ribosomal RNA (442 nucleotides) under uncultured bacterium. Its description in RNAcentral is "partial 16S ribosomal RNA". It matches the Rfam family "Bacterial small subunit ribosomal RNA", at positions 338 to 795 of the family's 1533-position model. The record is from RNAcentral.
CCUACGGGUGGCUGCAGUGGGGAAUAUUGCGCAAUGGCCGAAAGGCUGACGCAGCGACGCCGCGUGUGGGAUGAAGGUCUUCGGAUUGUAAACCACUGUCGGGGGGGACGAAGUUCUGACGGUACCCCCAAAGGAAGCACCGGCUAACUCUGUGCCAGCAGCCGCGGUAAUACAGAGGGUGCGAGCGUUGUCCGGAAUCACUGGGCGUAAAGGGCGCGUAGGUGGCCUGAUAAGUCGGGGGUGAAACGCUGCGGCUCAACCGCAGCACUGCCUUCGAGACUGUCAGGCUUGAGCACGGUAGAGGCUGGUGGAAUGCCCGGUGUAGCGGUGGAAUGCGUAGAGAUCGGGAAGAACAUCGGUGGCGAAGGCGGCCAGCUGGGCCGUUGCUGACACUGAGGCGCGACAGCGUGGGGAGCAAACAGGAUUAGAUACCCUAGUAGUC